AAUGAACGCUGGCGGCAGGCCUAACACAUGCAAGUCGAACGGAUCCUUCGGGAUUAGUGGCGGACGGGUGAGUAACGCGUGGGAACAUACCCUUUGGUACGGAAUAGCCUCGGGAAACUGGGAGUAAUACCGUAUGUGGUCGAGAGACGAAAGAUUUAUCGCCAAAGGAUUGGCCCGCGUUGGAUUAGGUAGUUGGUGGGGAUAAUGGCCUACCAAGCCGACGAUCCAUAGCUGGUUUGAGAGGAUGAUCAGCCACACUGGGACUGAGACACGGCCAAGACUCGUCCGGGAGGCAGAAGGGGGGAUUCUUAGAAAAGGGGCGGAAGCCUGAUCCAGCAAUGCCGGGUGGGGAAAAAAGGCUGGAGGGUUGAAAAUAUCUUUAAGGGGGAAAGAUAAGGACGGUACAACCAAAAGAGGCCCCGCCAAACUCCGGGCAGGCACCCCCCGUAA
This 450-nucleotide ribosomal RNA is filed under the name uncultured bacterium. RNAcentral describes it as "partial 16S ribosomal RNA". It matches the Rfam family "Bacterial small subunit ribosomal RNA", at positions 30 to 523 of the family's 1533-position model. The record is from RNAcentral.